RNAcentral lists this long non-coding RNA (414 nucleotides) under Brassica napus (rape). Its description in RNAcentral is "long non-coding RNA (BNAP_LNC000115)". The record is from RNAcentral. Lineage: Eukaryota; Viridiplantae; Streptophyta; Magnoliopsida; Brassicales; Brassicaceae.
UAGGCAUGUGAGAGGAACAAACCCUAGUUUUUUUUUUUUUUUUGCACACUGGUAAUUUGUAUGGUGGACAAUAUGGGCCCUUGAACAUGAGUGAUUUUUUCAUUGGAGAAUUUGUGACCAUUCCCAUGUGUUACCCUUUUACUCUUUGUCAUUGUUAUCCUCAAAUCAAAUCUCACCUGAUAUUGAUCAGUAUAUACCUACUUUCUUAUAUUCUAAUCAACAGUAAAAGCGUCAAUUAUGGUCUAGUCUAAACUGACGAUCUGAUUGUAUAAAACAAUCCCAAAGGGUAUUUAAAAUUUAGGAUCAUAUGUAAUCGAUUUUUGGUUAAUUGGAUAGUCAGACUAAACCGAAAUAUAUGCAAUCAUGUGAAGGUUAUGGUCGAAAAUGUCAAGUUGAUAUGAUGCAUGACAACUU